Molecule: RNA transcript, 1773 nt
Organism: Apodemus sylvaticus (European woodmouse)
Lineage: Eukaryota; Metazoa; Chordata; Mammalia; Rodentia; Muridae
Gene: Spaca6
Gene name: sperm acrosome associated 6
Exons: 3
Source: RefSeq, a predicted model, not a curated record
UUCUCUUCAGGAGGUGGCUACUGUCCAUGGGUCCUUUUGGCAAGCCUUCCGCAGUGCUGCAGCAAAAUUGAAGAUGACCAUUGAACACCUUAAAAAAGGUAAAUCAGCCUCCAACUCCAUCCCCUGCAGGCAUAGCCCACACCACACAGGCGGAUAUUCUGGUUGCUCAUAUGACAGUCCUGGCCCACAUUCACCCCAGCCUCUUCUGAGUUCUGUUUCUGGCUCUGCACUCAAAAGCAUCCUCUCUAGAUCUGACAGGGCCUACUCGUGAGGUGCUGACUCCUUAAAGGAUUGGUUGCCUGGGAUCUAAUCCCUCAAGGAUAAUGAAUACAAGGCUGGUUCUUCCUCAAGGCUUCUGUAUCGCUUCCACACUCCUCUUUCCACGGAUGGCUACCUUCAGGCCGUAAGCCUGACACUUGGCCUGGCUCCAUCCUUUGUAUGAAGUUCUGUGGACUUGGCCUUGCACCUUAGGAACAAUCUAUGAUGUUCCCAAAUGCUGUAUUAGGAGCCUAGGCCUGCUCUCCAGAGGAUAGGGUUCCCUGCCUGAAAUAUCUUCUGGAGGUGCUUUAGGUAGGUCUCUCUCAACUACCUGGGUCUUAAUGCCUUCUUUUUCUCCACAGCACAGGCCUGCAUCCCUCCUUGUGGUAAGGAAUUAGUUCCAAAUUCAAAACAGCAGGGGAAGCAUGGUAACCGGUGGAAACCUGGAACUUAAGACUGAGAGCAAUGAGUGGGUCUCAGAUCCCAAGGAACCCAAUAGAAAAGCACAAACUAGGUACUGUUCAAAAACUUAGAAGGAGCAGGCCCUGGUGGUUCAGGCCUGUCAUUCAGGAGCAUUACAUGUCCAAGGUCAGCUUGGGCUAAAGGAGUUCUAGUCCAUGCCUGGCAAUUUGGGGACCCUGACUCCAAACAAAAACUAAAAAGAAUGCUGAAACUACAGCUCAGUAAUGGGGUGCUUGCUUGGAAUACCCAGAGAGGGACUGGCGGUGUGGCUCAAGUCCCUUGCCUAGACUCUUCCAGAGGGGCUAGGAAAUGUAUGGUUUAGUGGAAUAGACUACUUGUCUAUAAUUCCCCACGUGGGAGAGCGGGAGUAUGUGUAAGUGGUAGAGAGCUUGUCUAGCAUGCAUAAAUCCCUAGGUUUCGUUCCCAGUGGCUAGAACACAAAACAUACAUUUAUGUAGCAAACUGGCUCAACUGACCAUACAAGCCAGAAGGUUAGCCAGGGCUCAACUGGACAGAGAGUAAUUUAGAUGGUGCGUUAAAGACUGGGUCUAUCUUCCACCUCCCCAAUAGAACCCUGCGAGUGCCCAUAGAUUAAAUAAGGUUCAGAGAUCGGGACCAGGGGGAGCCGAACACCACACUCCUGGUCUCCUUUCCCCAGGCGUCCAGGAGAAGGCUAGAAUUUUCCACUGCCGGGGCUGCUAUUCCACAAUCUGCGAUCUGCCCCUAGACUGUCCAGGUCCGGACUCGGGACGUUUCCUACUUCCGUGAUGUGCCGGGGGCUCACGGGUACCUGGCACGAAUUCGGCCAGUGCACCCCAGACACAGUGGGACCUUUUCCUGCGUGAUCCUGCACGACCAGCGCCCCCUGGCGCGGCUCUACUUCUAUCUGAACGGUACGGGCGGGGCGAGGAUGUGAGGUGGGGCCGAGGGCGGAGCUCUGCCCUCUAACGAGAGCGCUCCGGCAGUGACGGGCGGCCCUCCGCCCGAGGAGACCGAGCUCCAGGUCACGUUCCGGGAAGUGAUGCGUUGGAGACCGCAGGAGGAGGAAAUGAU